CUAAAAAUCAGGUAACACUCAUUUAUAUGUGUUUGGAAUUGUUACUAUUUGUUUCGUUUAUAUUCACUGCAACUAUAUUUAAAGACAAUUUUGAACUUACGGUGCCAAGUAAUGCUAAAAUUGGACAUAUUAUCACCAAAUUAGGCUGUUUAGAAGACGAUAUAUCAAUCAUACCGGAAGGAAGUCCACUGGAUGGACAACUAUUUUCAAAACUAUUUUCUAUUGAAAGUGGAAAUCUAGUCGUCAAAAGUGAUAUUUCAUUAUAUGAAGGAAC
Molecule: long non-coding RNA, 274 nt
Filed under: Mytilus galloprovincialis (Mediterranean mussel)
Lineage: Eukaryota; Metazoa; Mollusca; Bivalvia; Mytilida; Mytilidae
Source: RNAcentral